This 23-nucleotide non-coding RNA is filed under the name Cricetulus griseus (Chinese hamster). The record is from RNAcentral. Lineage: Eukaryota; Metazoa; Chordata; Mammalia; Rodentia; Cricetidae.
AGAGGAAAAAAGAAAGCAACACC